AACUUUUGGCAACGGAUCACUUGGUUCUGGCAUCGAUGAAGAACUCAGCGAAAUGCGAUAAGUAAUGUGAAUUUCAGAAUUCAGUGAAUCAUCGAAUCUUUGAACGCACAUUGCGCCCGCUGGUAUUCCGGCGGGCAUGCCUGUCCGAGCGUCAUUAUGACCAAUCAAGCUCUGCUUGGCCUUGGGGCCUGCUAUACCAGCGGCUCUUAAAACCCGUGGCGGUGCCGUCUGGCUCUAAGCGUAGUAAUUCUCCUCGCUAUAGGGCUCUAGACGUCCACCCGCCAGAACCCCCAAACUUCUCAAGGUUGACCUCGGAUCAGGUAGGGAUACCCGCUGAACCUAAGCAUAUCAAUAAGCGGAGGCU
This 364-nucleotide unclassified non-coding RNA is filed under the name uncultured Helotiales. RNAcentral's name for it is "sequence contains ITS2". The stretch from base 1 to 154 matches the Rfam family "5.8S ribosomal RNA". The record is from RNAcentral. Lineage: Eukaryota; Fungi; Ascomycota; Leotiomycetes; Helotiales.